UAAUUAAGCAGAGGAAAAGAAACUAACAAGGAUUGGCCCAGUAACGGCGAGUGAAUGGCUAAUAGCCCACCUGUGAAUCAUCACUAGUGAUGAAUUGUGGUAUGUAGGUCAUUUUGUUUGUUUUGCUGACAAAGUCCCCUGGAAUGGGGCAGCAUAGAAGGUGAUACUCCUGUUUGUAAGCAGCAUGAAAUUUGACCAGGGAGUCGAGUUGUUUGGGAUUGCAGCUCUAAGUGGGUGGUAAAUUCCAUCCAAGGCUAAAUAUGGGUGAGAAACCAAUAGUAUACAAGUACCGUGAGGGAAAGAUGCAAAGCCGCGCGAAAGCGCUGUCAAAGAGUACCUGAAAUUGCUGAAAUGGAAGCAAAGAAAACUAGUGUUAGUCACCCUGCAUUUCCUCUCUUGCUUGCAACUGAGGCGCUGCAGAUGGCUCUGCUUCAACCACUGACUUGCGGUGGAAGAUACUGGCAUCGUGGACAAGUGGUUGGGACAAAAUGGUUUUCUUUUUCCCG
RNAcentral lists this ribosomal RNA (506 nucleotides) under Surirella cf. fastuosa. Its description in RNAcentral is "eukaryotic LSU rRNA". It matches the Rfam family "Eukaryotic large subunit ribosomal RNA", at positions 43 to 651 of the family's 3401-position model. Lineage: Eukaryota; Bacillariophyta; Bacillariophyceae; Surirellales; Surirellaceae. The record is from RNAcentral.